CAUCUGUUGCCUGCGCGGCCAGGGCCCUGCAGAGCCACCAGGGGAUAUCCUGCACACGCAAGAGUGGGAACCUCCGCCUCGGGACUGGGAGGGAGAGGUGCCUAAACUUUGAGGACUCCAGCUGAUUCACACGCCCAGAGAGGCUUCCCGGCGAAUGACAGCCUGUGUAUCAGGCCAGGAGAGGGGCCCGGGCUGGGCUGGUGAGACUCGGCACCGCUCUUUCAGUUCACUGGAUCCCUUUUCUCAGCCAAGCGACCCUGGCAGGUUUCCCAAGGGAUGAAAACCCUGCGUGGGGGAGUGAGUUCUGGAGGCCAGAAGCCGGAGAUCAUAGCGUCGAAAUGCAGGCCCCACUGCAGGCUCGGGGGGAGUCCGUGCUCUGCUGCCUCCAGCUUCGGGCGGCUGUCGACUUUCUCUGGUGCUAUUCUCAGGACCCCGGGAUGAGGACGUGGACAUAUCUUUUGGGGGCCACUGUUCAGCCCCCUACACUCACCUAGAGCCUCCAGGAGGACCCCGCCCUGCCGACACCCUUAGUCCUGUUAAGAUCUGACUCCCAGAACUGCAGAAUAAACUCACAUUGCUCAAGGCCGUGAGGUUGGUGGUAAUUUGUUACAGCAGCUGUAGGAAAUGAACACACUGUAUUUACUGACAUGAAAAGACACACUGUCGAGUGACACUCAGGCAGGACACUAACCCGGGUUAUGGUAAGAACCGCUUUAUAUCACAGAAGUCUGUGUGCCAGGCUGCUCUCAGGGGAGGGCACCCAGCAGAGGGGCCGGGACAGGAGGCAGGCUCGGUGGAGGCCCAGAGCAGUGUGGCCGCUUGUCACCCGCCUACCCCCAUCCCCACCCCGCCACUUGUCCUCCUCCCUCCUCCACACUCUUCCAGAAAAGAUUUAAGGACAGGCCCUCCCUGCCGCUCCCCCCUCAAGUUCUCUUCCUUUCUCCUCCUCCCUCGCCUGCCUCACUUCCCCACAGUUCCCUAGAAGCUAGCUUAAAGCCAGGCCCCUGGGGGAGACGACGAGGGGGCAAGAUGAAGAUGGAGGGAGGGUGACAUGGGCCAUCAAGGAUGAUGUUGGGAGACCUGGGGACUCUGGAGGGGGUGCCUUGCCUCUUAGCACCAAGGAAAUCGGUUCUGGGAGGCGACCCUGCUCCCACAGACCCGUUUGACUUGAAGCACCUCCUCCUGGCCUAGAUUCCCCAUUCUGCUUGUGCUAAACCCCACAUCCCCCAGGGGGCUGUGGGGCACCAGGCCCACUCCCUCACGAGUCAGGAGUGCGGGGCCCCAGGGCCCGAGGCCGCCCCUUGCCCACGGUGGUGGAUCCGAUGAGCGGAGCACUCUGUCAGCCUCCUCGCAUCCACCCCCACCAGCCUCACCCAACCCCCUCCCCACUCCCUUUCUGAGGUUCCUCCUCAGAGUCCCCAACUUCCUGGCAAAGGUUCUCCAGCUAGGCUCUCCCAAGAAAGCCGUCCACGGUCAGAUGGGAAUGUUUCCAGUUCACGGUGAGGCUCUGAGGAGAGACACUAAGUUUUUAGAGCUUGGUUCUCCUCUGUGCUCAGGUACUCACUCUCCCUGGGGCCUCAGUGUCGGCAGAGCUCAGCCCCUGGGGAGAGUCCCUGGUGUCCAGCAUCACAGCACAGGCCAGCUUGGCUUAAAGGAGAGUGUCGCUUCUAUUGGCUUUUCAGAGAGAAAACUAAAUUAUCCAUCCAAUUCAAAAGUGGAAAACUUCCAUUCAUUUAAAAAUUCUUUCAUAGCAGAUUGGGGGCUGGGGCUGGGGAAUGGGAAGUGACAGCUUAAUGGGUACGAGGCUCCCUUUUGGGUUGAUGAAAAUGGAACUAGAUAGGGAUGGCAGUGGUACAGCAUUUGACUAUCCUAAAUGCCUCUGAAUUGUUCGCUUUAAAAUGGCUGUUUUUAUGUUGUGUGAAUUUCACCUCAAAAAAAUUAUUCCUUUCUUUUCAACGAAAAUAUAUGGAGCGUUGACUGUGUUUCACAUACUGUUGAAUGUCCUGGGGACAUAUUGACGAGGAAGACACGCAAGAUGCCCACCCCACAGAGCAUAAGGUCUAGUGAAACAUACAGCGUUCAGUGGAACUAAGCCGAGAAACGCAUCGCGGUUCCAUCUCUGCUAAGCUGCUGGCAGAAUGAUGUUGAAAAGAGAAGAUUGAGAGAGCAGGAGUCCUGGGUGCCUGGAAUUACUCUCUGGAAGACGAAUGUGUGAUCUGGGCACAGAGCCGCUGUGACCUUCAGAAUGGCUGUGCCAGCACGUCCAGGGCUGGAGGACCAGGCUGGGGUCUGCACAGACCUCCUGUGAAAGACACUGCAGAAGGCAGCCCGUGGACGGGGUGGACAUGUUUGCGGCAUCCAACAAAGGUACACAGUUGUAUAUUCUUCGUUGUGGGUCCUUCUAGUUGUGGCGUGUGGGAUGCUGCCUCAGCGUGGUUUGAUGAGCAGUGCCAUGUCUGCGCCCAGGAUUUGAACCAACGAAACACUGGGCCGCCUGCAGCGGAGCGCACAAACUUAACCACUCGGCCAUGGGGCCAGACCCCAUUUUAACCAUUUUAAAGUGUACAAUUCAGUGGCAUUUACUACAUUCACAGUAUUGGGCAACCGUCACCAUUAUCUGGCUCCAGAACAUUUCAGCACCCCAAAAGGGAAAUUCUGUACCCAUCAGCAGUCAGUCCCAAUGCCUCCCAACUCCUGGCAACCACUAAUCUACUUUCCAUCUCUAUGCGUUUGUCUGUUCUGGACAUUUUGUAUAAAUGGAG
Molecule: long non-coding RNA, 2762 nt
Filed under: Equus asinus (donkey)
Lineage: Eukaryota; Metazoa; Chordata; Mammalia; Perissodactyla; Equidae
Description: lncRNA (ENSEASG00005026451.1)
Source: RNAcentral